AUAACCGAGGUGGCAAGGGCUGUCGCUGACCUUUCAAAGGUUGUGCACGCCCAAGCACACUCUCACACAUCCAUCUCACCCCUUUUGUGCAUCACCGCGUAGGCCCUCCCUUUGCAAGGAGGGCUUGCGUUUUCACAUAAAAACUUUUGAUACAGUAUAGAAUGUUCCUUUUUAUUUUGCGGUCACACGCAAUCAAUACAACUUUCAACAACGGAUCUCUUGGCUCUCGCAUCGAUGAAGAACGCAGCGAAAUGCGAUACGUAAUGUGAAUUGCAGAAUUCAGUGAAUCAUCGAAUCUUUGAACGCACCUUGCGCCCCUUGGCAUUCCGAGGGGCACACCCGUUUGAGUGUCGUGAAAUCAUCAAAAACCCUUUUUCUUUGAAAAGGAUUUUUGGACUUGGAGGUUCCAUGCUUGCCUUUGAAGGUGAGCUCCUCUCAAAUAAAUUAGUGGGGUCCGCUUUGCUGAUCCUUAAUGUGAUAAGAUGUUUCUACAUUUUGGAUUUAGCACUGUCCCUUGGAUGCCUGCUCCUAACUGUCUUUUGGACAAUGAUGGUGCUCCGGUCAUCGCCAUCUACAUUGGCGA
RNAcentral lists this small RNA (583 nucleotides) under uncultured Russula. RNAcentral describes it as "eukaryotic LSU rRNA". The stretch from base 200 to 353 matches the Rfam family "5.8S ribosomal RNA". The record is from RNAcentral. Lineage: Eukaryota; Fungi; Basidiomycota; Agaricomycetes; Russulales; Russulaceae.